Non-coding RNA from Podarcis lilfordi (Lilford's wall lizard), 74 nucleotides. Lineage: Eukaryota; Metazoa; Chordata; Lepidosauria; Squamata; Lacertidae. The record is from the annotation of a GenBank genome assembly.
ACCGGGAUAGCUCAGUUGGUUAGAGCAGGAGACUCUUAUGCUCUGGGUGGUGGGUUCGAGCCCCAUGUUGGGCA